GAAAGUAAUAUUUAAAGCCUACUUAACCAAUCACUUUCUCUCUUCAUUCUUUGCAUGAGCAGAACUGGAGAACAGAAGUAGAAAACCGAAACAUCUCAAGCCUGUUCCACAGAUGGAUGAAAGUUUACCAGUUCUUGGUCAUAGGGAACCAGAGCCUACCCAGUAGCACAGGGCAUAAGGCCAGAAGGAGAGGGGACAUACCCAGGAUGGGACACCAGUCCGCCGCAAGGCACCCCAAGCGGGACUCGAACCCCAGACCCACUAGAGAGCAGGACCCAGUCCAACCCACUGCACCACCG
This 299-nucleotide long non-coding RNA is filed under the name Scleropages formosus (Asian bonytongue). RNAcentral describes it as "lncRNA (ENSSFOG00015024262.1)". Lineage: Eukaryota; Metazoa; Chordata; Actinopteri; Osteoglossiformes; Osteoglossidae. The record is from RNAcentral.